GCCUAACCGUUAACACAGACAAUUUAACCCACAAUAUUGUCCGCCAGAGAACUACAAACGAAAAGUUUAAAACUCAAAGGAUUUGGCGGUACCCAACUCCGACCUAGAGGAGCCUGUCCUAUAAUCGAUACCCCACGUUUUACCUUACCACCCCUUGCAAUUCAGCCUAUAUACCGCCGUCGUCAGCCUACCUUAUGAAAGAACACGAAGUAGACAAGACAGUUACCAACUAACACGUCAGGUCAAGGUGUAGCAUAUGGGCUGGAAGAGAUGGGCUACAUUUUCUUAAACAGAAAACACCAACAGCACAAUGAAACAAGUGCCAAAAGGCGGAUUUAGCAGUAAGAUAGACAAGACACACUACCUUAAACACGCUCUAGGGUGCGCACACACCGCCCGUCACCCUCAUUUACCGAACUAGUAACUAAAAAUAUUUUACAACCACCCAUGCAGAUGAGACAAG
RNAcentral lists this ribosomal RNA (463 nucleotides) under Mochlus fernandi (African fire skink). Its description in RNAcentral is "partial small subunit ribosomal RNA". It matches the Rfam family "Bacterial small subunit ribosomal RNA", at positions 794 to 1485 of the family's 1533-position model. Lineage: Eukaryota; Metazoa; Chordata; Lepidosauria; Squamata; Scincidae. The record is from RNAcentral.